UUUCCCUCAGGAUAGCUGGCACUCGUAUUAACGAGUCUCAUCUGGUAAAGCGAAUGAUUAGAGGCAUUGGGGCCGAAACGACCUCAACCUAUUCUCAAACUUUAAAUGGGUGAGAUCUCUGGCUUGCUUGAACAUUAGCAAAUGAAGCCAUGAGAAUUUAAUUGUGAAUGGAUCAGAGUGCCAAGUGGGCCAAUUUUGGUAAGCAGAACUGGCGCUGUGGGA
This 222-nucleotide ribosomal RNA is filed under the name Smicromorpha sp. D2651. RNAcentral describes it as "partial 28S ribosomal RNA". It matches the Rfam family "Eukaryotic large subunit ribosomal RNA", at positions 967 to 1163 of the family's 3401-position model. Lineage: Eukaryota; Metazoa; Arthropoda; Insecta; Hymenoptera; Chalcididae. The record is from RNAcentral.